RNAcentral lists this ribosomal RNA (422 nucleotides) under uncultured bacterium. RNAcentral's name for it is "partial 16S ribosomal RNA". It matches the Rfam family "Bacterial small subunit ribosomal RNA", at positions 360 to 774 of the family's 1533-position model. The record is from RNAcentral.
AAUCUUCCGCAAUGGCCGCAAGUCUGACGGAGCAACGCCGCUUCAGUGAUGAAGGUUCUCCGAUCGUAACACUCUGUUGUGAGGGACGAACAAGUACCCUAGUCACUGCCGGUACCUUCACGGUACCUGCCGCGGAAUCCACGUCUAACUCCGUACCAGCAGCCGCGGUAAUACGUAGGUGGCAAGCGUUGUCCGGAUUUAUUGGGCGUAAAGCGCGCGCAGGCGGUCUUUUAAGUCUGAUGUGAAAUCUUACAGCUUAACUGUAAGCGGUCAUUGGAAACUGGGAGACUUGAGUGCAGAAGAGGAGAGUGGAAUUCCAUGUGUAGCGGUGAAAUGCGUAGAGAUAUGGAGGAACACCAGUGGCGAAGGCGACUCUCUGGUCUGUAGCUGACGCUGAGGCGCGAAAGCGUGGGGAUCAAACA